RNAcentral lists this ribosomal RNA (301 nucleotides) under uncultured bacterium. Its description in RNAcentral is "partial 16S ribosomal RNA". It matches the Rfam family "Bacterial small subunit ribosomal RNA", at positions 509 to 807 of the family's 1533-position model. The record is from RNAcentral.
CAGUAGCCACGGGAAUACAGAGGGUGCGAGCGUUAAUCGGAAUUACUGGGCGUAAAGCGUGCGCAGGCGGUGUUGUAAGACUGAUGUGAAAUCCCCGGGCUCAACCUGGGAACUGCAUUGGUGACUGCAACGCUGGAGUGCGGCAGAGGGGGAUGGAAUUCCGCGUGUAGCAGUGAAAUGCGUAGAUAUGCGGAGGAACACCGAUGGCGAAGGCAAUCCCCUGGGCCUGCACUGACGCUCAUGCACGAAAGCGUGGGGAGCAAACAGGAUUAGAUACCCCCGUAGUCCCUGUCUCUUAUAC